Molecule: ribosomal RNA, 481 nt
Filed under: uncultured bacterium
Lineage: Bacteria
Description: partial 16S ribosomal RNA
Rfam family: Bacterial small subunit ribosomal RNA
Source: RNAcentral
GACGAACGCUGGCGGCGUGCUUAACACAUGCAAGUCGAACGAUGAAGGAGAGCUUGCUCUCCGGAUUAGUGGCGAACGGGUGAGUAACACGUGACUAACCUGACCCUUUCACUGGGAUAACGCUCCGAAAGGAGUGCUAAUACCGGAUACGAACUCUGAACACAUGUUCGGAGUUGGAAAGUUUUUCGGAAAGGGAUGGAGUCGCGGCCUAUCAGCUGGUUGGGGAGGUAACGGCUCACCAAGGCGACGACGGGUAGCCGGCCUGGGAGGGCGACCGGCCACACUGGGACUGAGACACGGCCCAGACUCCUACGGGAGGCAGCAGUGGGGAAUAUUGCACAAUGGGCGAAAGCCUGAUGCAGCGACGCCGCGUGAGGGAUGAAGGUCUUCGGAUUGUAAACCUCUUUCAGUAGGGACGAAGCGAAAGUGACGGUACCUAAAGAGGAAGCACCGGCUAACUACGUGCCAGCCGCCGCCGUAA